This 379-nucleotide ribosomal RNA is filed under the name uncultured bacterium. RNAcentral's name for it is "partial 16S ribosomal RNA". It matches the Rfam family "Bacterial small subunit ribosomal RNA", at positions 338 to 734 of the family's 1533-position model. The record is from RNAcentral.
CCUACGGGCGGCAGCAGUAGGGAAUAUUGCUCAAUGGGGGAAACCCUGAAGCAGCAACGCCGCGUGAAGGAUGAAGGUUUUCGGAUUGUAAAGUUCUUUUGUUAGAGAAGAUAAUGACGGUAUCUAACGAAUAAGCACCGGCUAACUUCGUGCCAGCAGCCGCGGUAAUACGGAGGGGGCAAGCGUUACUCGGAAUCACUGGGCGUAAAGAGCGUGUAGGCGGGUUAGCAAGUCAGAUGUGAAAUCCUAUGGCUUAACCCUAGAAUUGCAUUUGAAACUGUUAGUAUAGAGUUUGGGAGAGGUAGGUGGAAUUCUUGGUGUAGGGGUGAAAUCCGUAGAGAUCAAGAAGAAUACUCAUUGCGAAGGCGACCUACUAGAA